This 253-nucleotide ribosomal RNA is filed under the name uncultured bacterium. RNAcentral describes it as "partial 16S ribosomal RNA". It matches the Rfam family "Bacterial small subunit ribosomal RNA", at positions 524 to 776 of the family's 1533-position model. The record is from RNAcentral.
GACGUAGGGCGCGAGCGUUGUCCGGAUUUAUUGGGCGUAAAGAGCUCGUAGGCGGCUUGUCGCGUCGACUGUGAAAUCCCGCGGCUCAACUGCGGGUCUGCAGUCGAUACGGGCAGGCUAGAGUUCGGUAGGGGAGACUGGAAUUCCUGGUGUAGCGGUGAAAUGCGCAGAUAUCAGGAGGAACACCGAUGGCGAAGGCAGGUCUCUGGGCUGUAACUGACGCUGAGGAGCGAAAGCAUGGGGAGCGAACAGG